AAGACAAGAAUUUUAAACCCACAAAAUAGAAAAAAAAAAACUAGGAGGAAAAUAAGCAACUAAGGGUAAAAAUACAAACCUUAGGGAAAAAAAAAAAAAAAACUAGAAGAUAGAAAUAAGAUAGAAAAUGGUUGAAAAUGUCAAGUAAAGAUAUUACACAGAUAGAAAAUGCAAAAAGCUAAGACAACUAUUAGAUACAGACAUACUUAUUAAAGCAAAAAGAGGGAAUUGGAAAGGGGUAUAUAUCCCCCAAAGAUAAACUUAAAAUAACGCUUUUUACUCUAAACUUUUUAAAUUUGGAUUCAUAAGGACUUAGUGCUGCGGAAUAUAUAUCCAAAAAAUGUACAUAAGCCUAAGGUACUUUGGAAAGAUAUUCUAACAGGACAAUGGAAAGCUCCUGACCCAGUGAUUGUCUGGAGUCGGGGUUUUGUUUGUGUGUUUCCACAGGGAGAACAGCAGCCAAUUUGGAUUCCAGAGACAUUAACUAAAACAAUUUCUAUAGAUCGAAAAGAAGAUGAUUUGACUCAAAUCCAUAACAGCUGAUAUCCAGAACUCCAGCUUGGCCAUUCUUACAUCUGCGACAGUGAUUAACCAGUGAUGCAAUUUUUAUUUCCUUGCCAGUGCACCCCAUGUUAAUUGUGGUAGUGCUGGCAUAUCUUUGCUGAUGGUGUCACUAGUGAUGCAAUUUUU
RNAcentral lists this long non-coding RNA (690 nucleotides) under Marmota monax (woodchuck). Lineage: Eukaryota; Metazoa; Chordata; Mammalia; Rodentia; Sciuridae. The record is from RNAcentral.